CACUCCUACGGGAGGCAGCAGUGGGGAAUUUUGGACAAUGGGCGAAAGCCUGAUCCAGCAAUGCCGCGUGAGUGAAGAAGGCCUUCGGGUUGUAAAGCUCUUUUGUCAGGGAAGAAACGGUGAGAGCUAAUAUCUCUUGCUAAUGACGGUACCUGAAGAAUAAGCACCGGCUAACUACGUGCCAGCAGCCGCGGUAAUACGUAGGGUGCAAGCGUUAAUCGGAAUUACUGGGCGUAAAGCGUGCGCAGGCGGUUUUGUAAGUCUGAUGUGAAAUCCCCGGGCUCAACCUGGGAAUUGCAUUGGAGACUGCAAGGCUAGAAUCUGGCAGAGGGGGGUAGAAUUCCACGUGUAGCAGUGAAAUGCGUAGAUAUGUGGAGGAACACCGAUGGCGAAGGCAGCCCCCUGGGUCAAGAUUGACGCUCAUGCACGAAAGCGUGGGGAGCAAACAGGAUUAGAAACCCCGGUAGUCCCA
This 472-nucleotide ribosomal RNA is filed under the name uncultured organism. RNAcentral's name for it is "partial 16S ribosomal RNA". It matches the Rfam family "Bacterial small subunit ribosomal RNA", at positions 334 to 797 of the family's 1533-position model. The record is from RNAcentral.